Molecule: unclassified non-coding RNA, 253 nt
Filed under: uncultured Caryophanales bacterium
Lineage: Bacteria; Bacillati; Bacillota; Bacilli; Caryophanales
Description: uncultured Bacillales bacterium contains 16S-23S intergenic spacer region
Rfam family: Bacterial small subunit ribosomal RNA
Source: RNAcentral
UACGUAGGUGGCAAGCGUUGUCCGGAAUUAUUGGGCGUAAAGCGCGCGCAGGCGGUCCUUUAAGUCUGCUGUGAAAGCCCACGGCUCAACCGUUGAGGGUCAGUGGAAACUGGGGGACUUGAGUACAGAAGAGGAAAGCGGAAUUCCACGUGUAGCGGUGAAAUGCGUAGAGAGGUGGAGGAACACCAGUGGCGAAGGCGGCUUUCUGGUCUGUAACUGACGCUGAGGCGCGAAAGCGUGGGGAGCAACCAGG